RNAcentral lists this long non-coding RNA (612 nucleotides) under Elaeis guineensis (African oil palm). RNAcentral's name for it is "long non-coding RNA (EGUI_LNC020823)". The record is from RNAcentral. Lineage: Eukaryota; Viridiplantae; Streptophyta; Magnoliopsida; Arecales; Arecaceae.
UGUAGUGCAAAAACUCUUGCCAGACUUCUUGAUUGGAUGACCACACUCGUUUGCAAAGUCAAAGCCAAACAUAGAAGAAUGAGACUGGAUGGGUGGCGGUACUCAGGGCUUGAAUGAGAAUAGAGUAACCUAAUUCAUCGUGUCAACAAACACUAUAAGAAAAGUAUAGCUUUUGAGAUGAUUCAUCUGAGACGGCUAAAAAACAGUCUCAAAAAUCCAUUUUUGCCAACGGCAUUGAGAUGGCAUGAAGAUGGCGCUCUCCUGUGAUGGUCAAUUGAGACGGCCUAGAGACAGUGAUUAAUUUUUUUAAUAUUAAUUGAGUACUAGAAACGAGACAGACCGGAGACGACUGUGCUUUCAAAGAUGGCAUAGCGAUGGGGGAUUUAAAAAAUAAAUAAACUUUUAAAGAUGGUGCGGCAAUGGCUUAGUAAAAAAUUAAUUUAUGCUCUUCUGCAAUUGCUGUUUCUGUCGUCGUUUCUCCUCUACAUUGGUGGCCCCAUGACUGUUAAAUUAAAAAUUAAUUAAUAUCUUUUAGAGAUGGCUUACCAUCCCUAAUAGAAAAUCAGUAGCGGCAGCUUGAGCCAUCUCCAAUAGCUAUCUCAAAUAACCAAC